CCGGUCAUUACAUCCUCGCGACUAAUGACAACCUUCAUCCGACGCCACAGAUAAAGCCUCUCAUUAGCCGCGCGAAUCGCUGUAAUAACGGAUCAUAUUUACAACAGCAAUACAUUACUCUGUUUUGCUGGCACUUCCUAGAAGAAAGGGGCCCAAAGAGGCCCCUUUCU
This 170-nucleotide small RNA is filed under the name Dickeya dadantii 3937. RNAcentral describes it as "SraG RNA". It matches the Rfam family "SraG RNA". Rfam says of the family: This RNA was discovered in E. coli during a large scale screen. Evidence was found for specific cleavage of this RNA. The record is from Rfam by way of RNAcentral. Lineage: Bacteria; Pseudomonadati; Pseudomonadota; Gammaproteobacteria; Enterobacterales; Pectobacteriaceae.